AGCCAAUAGGGUUGCCUAUUCUCAAGAUUAGUGUGUGUGGUAUUAAAAAGGGCCUAAAUAAAUGCUUUUGCAGCAAUUUUCUACUCUUAACUUUUGUUCCUAUAGUAUAGGACCUGCAUAAGUAAUAGCU
This 130-nucleotide small nucleolar RNA is filed under the name Jaculus jaculus (lesser Egyptian jerboa). RNAcentral's name for it is "Small nucleolar RNA SNORA13 (ENSJJAG00000002604.1)". The record is from RNAcentral. Lineage: Eukaryota; Metazoa; Chordata; Mammalia; Rodentia; Dipodidae.